This 91-nucleotide non-coding RNA is filed under the name Candidatus Muproteobacteria. RNAcentral's name for it is "Glycine sequence". It matches the Rfam family "Glycine riboswitch aptamer". Rfam says of the family: This family represents the bacterial glycine riboswitch. Glycine riboswitches usually consist of two metabolite-binding aptamers domains with similar structures in tandem. The record is from RNAcentral. Lineage: Bacteria; Pseudomonadati; Pseudomonadota.
UUUCCCCCCGCGGGAGAGACCGCGCAUAUGCGCGGCGCCGAAGGCGCAACUCCGCCCGGAAUCGCUCAGGCAAAAGGACCGCGGGGGUUAA